This 986-nucleotide ribosomal RNA is filed under the name Planorbis carinatus. RNAcentral's name for it is "16S ribosomal RNA". The record is from RNAcentral. Lineage: Eukaryota; Metazoa; Mollusca; Gastropoda; Planorbidae.
AUUUAUUGACCUUACCUAAUUAUUUUUCUCUUUUAACGGAUACGUUUAAAAAAAUUUAGUAUGAAUACCUUUUGUAUAAGUGUUUUUCAAUAAAUAGAUAUAAUAUAUUUUUCCCGAAAAUAAUUGAUAAAAUAAUUAUAAUAUAUUACGUAGCAUAGUAAUAUAUUUAAUCCUUAUUAGAAAUGAAAAAUUUUUCAAUAUUAUAGAUAUCUGGAUUAUUAAUAAAAGUAUUGAGUACUUUAUACCAAUAAUAGGUGUUACGAUCUAUUAUACUUUGAAAAUUUUUUAUUAUAUUAUUUUUUUUAAAUAGAAUUAAUAUUUUUUUUAAAAACAUAUUAUUAUUGUAUAUUUUAGUUCUUAAAAAUAUUAAUAACUUUUUAAAAAAUUUUUUUUUGUAUUUUUUAUGAAAAAAUUAGUAUUAUUUUUAUAAGUUUUUUAGGAAUUCGGCAAAUAAUAAUUUCAAUCGUUUAUCAAAAACAUAGUUUUAUGAAUUUAUAUAAAAUAUUUUCUGCCCAGUGUUAAAAAUAAUUAAUAAAUGGCCGCAGUACCUUGACUGUGCUAAGGUAGCAUAAUCAAUUGGCUUUUAAUUAAGGUCUAGAAUGAAUGGGAUAAUGAAGUUAAUCUGUCUUAAUAACUUUUACUAAAAUUUAUUUAGAAGGUGAAAAUACCUUUCUAAAGAAUAAAGACGAGAAGACCCUUAGAAUUUUUACUAACUUUUUGUUGGGGCGACAAUUUAAAAUUUGAUCUUAAAUUAUUACUAUAUAACGAUUUUUUUAAUAAAAAUUAAAUUACCUUAGGGAUAACAGCAUAAUUAUUAAAAUAGUUUGUGACCUCGAUGUUGGACUAGGAACUAUAUGGCUAACCGUCUAAAUAGAUUUGUUCUGUUCGAACAAUUAAAUCCUACAUGAUCUGAGUUCAGACCGGCGUAAGCCAGGUCAGUUUCUAUCUUAUAAUAUUCUAAUUGUAGUACGAAAGGAUCUAAUUGG